UUAAAUUAAAACAAAAAACAAAAAAUAGAUUUACAGGGUCCGAGGGAGUUAGGAACUCUAUGGCACUCCGUGCCGUUCUCCUGCUUCGUCACUCCGGCAAGACACUCACACUCACCUCUUCGUGGUCAUGUUCGCGGCGCGCCACACUCUCUUCCGCUUCCUGUUGCUGCCGACAAAGGAAGCAAGCUCCGGCGCCGCCGCCGCCGUCCCCGAAGAAGGUGCCGUUCAGAGUUUUGGUUCACGGGAAGACGCUAGAAGAUCCAUAUCAUUGGAUGUCCAACACCGACGAUCCCAAUCUGUUGGACCAUCUCCACCGCGAAAAUUCCUACGCCGAAGCCUUCAUGGCUGACGCCCUCCCUCUGCAGUCUGCCUUGGCUUCCGAGAUGAAACGACGAAUCCCCGCCGCCGUUUCCACUCCCCCGGAGCGUUGGGGACCCUGGAUGUAUUACCAAUACAUUCCAGAGGGAAGGGAAUAUCCUGUACUGUGUAGGAAGCUGGAAAAUGAGAGCAGUGGUUGGCUGGCGGCUUUUCGUCGUUAUGGAUUGGCAAGACCUAAAAGGGAGGAAAUUUUGCUUGACUGGAAUGAACUUGCAGAGAAAUAUGGGUAUGUCCAUGUUGGUACAUGUAGGGUUUCACCAGACCACAACUAUCUUGCAUUCACAGUUGAUAUUUCUGGGGCUGAGCAGUUCAUGCUUAAAGUUAAAGACCUCAGAACUGGAUUGAUAGACCCAAAGUUGGCAGCUGAUGGUGUUGUUAGCCUGGCAUGGGCUCGAGAUGCAACUUCUUUGUUUUAUACUCUGUCAGAUGAAAACCAGAGACCUUACAGAGUUCUAUGUAGAAGACUUGGAUGCGGUCCUUCGAAUGACCUCCCAGUAUUUACAGAAAGUGAUCCCAGUUUUUGUGUUGACAUAACAAGCACAAAAGAUGGCAAGUUCAUAACGGUGAAUUCAAACUCAAGGACAUCAUCCGAGGUUUAUGUUAUAAAUGCAGCCAAUCCAAUGGAAGGGAUACAAAGGAUAUGUAAACGUACUUCUGGUGUACAGUACUUUGUGGAACAUCACACUGGUUUAUUUUAUAUCCUUACCAACUCUCCAAUGCCCGAUUCUAGGUGGUCUGGUGAUGGUUACUACCUGGUCCGAUGCCAAGUUGAAGAUAUAGAGUCAACUAAAUGGCUGAACAUCAUCCUCCCUGAUGAUGAUACGAGCAUACGUGACAUGGACAUUUUUAGUGGACAUUUGGUUCUUUCCCUCAAUAAAAGAGGUUUUCCUUUGUUAUGUUCCUUGAAUCUUCCCAUGCAAAGUGAUUUGAAGUAUCAGGUAUAUAUUCAAGACCUGAAACCAUGGUACUUUCCUCAGCCAUCUAGCUCAUGCAGUGCGAUUCCUGGUUCGAAUCAUGACUUUCUGAAUUCAGAGUAUCGUGUGGUGCUCUCAUCACCUGUGAUGCCUGAUGUAAUUGUUGAUUAUGACAUGUCAAGACAUACAUAUUCAGUUGUGCAGCAAGAGGAAGUAAAUUGUGUUUCUACUGGCCAGUUUUGCAUUCAAUCUUUGGAGCUACAUGAGAAUAAAAUUCAUGAGGCAUAUAAUAAGAAAGAAUGUAUCAUGAAUUCUGAAUCACAGAUUUGGAAGGACCUUUCUCGAAUAUACUGUUUGCAGAGGGAGGAAGUUAUUUCUCAUGAUGGUGUAAAGGUUCCACUUACCAUUGUGUACUCGAGAGAAUUGUGGCAGCAGGAUAAAUCCCCAGGUCUUUUAGUAGGUUAUGGAGCUUAUGGAGAAGAUUUGGAUAAGGGCUGGUGUUCAGAUCGGCUUAGUUUACUGGAUCGAGGUUGGGUAGUGGCAUUUGCUGAUGUCAGUGUGUGUUGUGCCAGAGGAGGUGGUGGUGGUAAUUCGUCAUGGCACAGGUCUGGGAGUGGGUUAAACAAGCACAAUUCAAUACUUGACUUUGUAUCUUGUGGUAACUAUCUAGUUAGUGAGGGUUAUGUUCAGAGUGAUCAGCUUGGUGCCAUUGCAUGGAGUGCAGGCUGUGUUGUUGUUGGUGCAGCUAUGAACAUGUAUCCACAACUCUUCCGUUCUGCCAUAUUAAAGGUACCAUUUCUUGAUGUAUGCAACACAUUGUUGGAUCCUAGUUUGCCCCUCACAGUCUUAGACUAUGAAGAAUUUGGAAAUCCGAAAAUACAGUCAAACUUUGAUUCUAUUUUUAGUUAUUCUCCUUAUGACAACAUUCCUCAACGCAGUUGCUUUCCUUCUGUUUUGGUUACAGUGGCAGUCAAUGAUUCAAGGGUUGGAGUUUGGGAAGGUGCAAAGUGGGUGGCUAAAGUACGAGACAGUACAUGCCCUAAUUGUUCUCGUUCAGUUAUCAUGAAAACAAGUAUGAUAGGAGGUCAUUUUGGCGAAGGUGGUCACCAUAGUCAAUGUGACGAAACAGCUUAUGAGUAUGCUUUCCUCAUGAAAACUUUUGGGAUCUUAAAGGAUUAAGUAAAUUUUACGAGUACGGCUGUUGGAAGGUUAUUUUUUAAUUAGUUUGAAGAGUUCCAUUUCUAGGCCAAGGAAGAGUUAUAUACUUAGCGCAAAGCAAGAAUUAGGCCUUGGAGAUUCAGAAGUAGAGGCAGAAGCAGAAUCAAUAACAACAAGAAACAGAAGAACAACAAUGGAUAAUGGAAUCAAAGUAACAACAAAAAUAGAACAAGAAGCAGAAGCAGAAGCAACAACAAUGAAACAACAAUCAAAAUCAGAAGAACAACAACAAUGGAUAAUGGAAUCAGAACAACUGGCAAGGAGGACGAAGAGCAGCGGCGACCGGCGAGGAGCAUCGACGAUCGUCCAACCUUGCGAAUUUGCUGGCGUCAAAGUGACCCCACUCCAGCGGCGGCGACGGAACAUGGCUCGAUGGCAACUGACGACGGCGAUUCGCGAUGAGGACGACAGCAUGGCGUGGUGAGCUGGAAGCGGUCUCCCUCAGCGCCUCCGUUCCUUUCUUCUCUUCCUCUCUGCUUCUCUUUCUCUCUCCUUCUGCUCUCUCCUCUCGUGCCGUUAGUGUGAGUGCGCUGAGGAAGAAAGGAAACGGCGAGAUCUGGCGGUGAGAUCCAGUGGCGAGGAUCGAACGACGAGGAGUAGCGGCGGCGGCGAGGACCGAAUGACGAGAAGCAGCGGCAGUGGAUUCCCUUCCCCCUCUUCUUCCCUGGAAACCCCCUCGAAGCGUGAUUCCCUUUCCCA
Molecule: non-coding RNA, 3209 nt
Organism: Arachis ipaensis
Lineage: Eukaryota; Viridiplantae; Streptophyta; Magnoliopsida; Fabales; Fabaceae
Source: RefSeq, a predicted model, not a curated record